This 468-nucleotide ribosomal RNA is filed under the name uncultured bacterium. RNAcentral describes it as "partial 16S ribosomal RNA". It matches the Rfam family "Bacterial small subunit ribosomal RNA", at positions 28 to 507 of the family's 1533-position model. The record is from RNAcentral.
GACGAACGCUGGCGGCGUGCUUAACACAUGCAAGUCGAACGGAAAGGCCCUGCUUUUGUGGGGUGCUCGAGUGGCGAACAGGUGAGUAACACGUGAGUAACCUGCCCUUGACUUUGGGAUAACCUCAGGAAACUGGGGCUAAUACCGGAUAGGAGCUCCUGCUGCAUGGUGGGGGUUGGAAAGUUUCGGCGGUUGGGGAUGGACUCGCGGCUUAUCAGCUUGUUGGUGGGGUAGUGGCUUACCAAGGCUUUGACGGGUAGCCGGCCUGAGAGGGUGACCGGCCACAUUGGGACUGAGAUACGGCCCAGACUCCUACGGGAGGCAGCAGUGGGGAAUAUUGCACAAUGGGCGGAAGCCUGAUGCAGCAACGCCGCGUGCGGGAUGACGGCCUUCGGGUUGUAAACCGCUUUCGCCUGUGACGAAGCGUGAGUGACGGUAAUGGGUAAAGAAGCACCGGCUAACUACGUG